RNAcentral lists this long non-coding RNA (1176 nucleotides) under Equus caballus (horse). RNAcentral describes it as "lncRNA (ENSECAG00000043651.2)". The record is from RNAcentral. Lineage: Eukaryota; Metazoa; Chordata; Mammalia; Perissodactyla; Equidae.
GAAAGUUUCAGACUAACUACAUGGGGAUGCACCACAAUACUGUACAUGGACCUAAUCAAAAUAUUAGUGUCUUAAGAAGAAAGAGAAAAGCCAUUUGUUUUUUAAAACGAGCUAAUUCUGCUGUCUGAGAAUUAUCUGCGUCUUGCUAGCAUGAAAAGAUAUUUUGGAGAAGCAUUAGAGCAGACAGAGUUAGAAGAAAACCUCUGCUGACAGAUUGUGCUCAGAUCCUGGCUCUGCCAAGCUGCAUGACCCUGGACCAGUCAACAAUCGCUUUGGAGAGGAGAAACAAUUACUUUGUAAACUGAAGCAGCGCACUUAAUGAAGGAAGCAGAGAAGCUGCUGUGGAGGCUUUUUGCUAUCUAAUGUGCUCACGCGGUGCCCCAGUUUCUGCAUCAGUAAAUUAAGAUGAUAAUAACCCCUAGGGUUGUGCAGAAGAUUAGAUGAGUUAAUAUACAGAAAGCAUUUAAACAGUGCCUGGCGCAUCGUAAGCGCAAUGUAUAAUGGUUUGUUUUCAUCACUACUUUGAUCAUUUAUUUUAAAAUAAAAUGUGCAAUACAUUUUGUAUAGUAAGAAAGGCAGAAAUAGUGAAUUUUGGGAUCAAUUUUUGAGACUAGUUCUGAGAUAUUCAUGGCCUUAGCAUCUAAAAUCUCUUUUACAUUCUCCACAAGCUUUCUGAACAUACUUAGUUUGUAAAAUCAGAUUGGACAUUUUACAGGAAUAGCUUUUCUCAUGGAAUUUCAGUACUUUCAGUUCCAUUCUAGCUGGAGUCUAAAAUACUGUUGCAUGCGGAUUUUAAAAUUAUGUGAAAACAACAUGAUCCAAACUUAUUUUUUAUUCAUUUUCAGGAAAAGUAUUGUUGGUUCACGUGUGGAAUAAAAGCAAAGCUAAUAGUUAUUUGAUAUCACUGGAGUAUGAAUCAAUCACCCCCAAAACAGGGCAACAUACAGUGAGCUAUUCCGAUGGCUGGUUGUGAAAAAAAAAAAACCUAGCAAAGCUGUAAAAAUGAUAUAUUAUUUAUUUAAUCAGUGAGUCUAUAAAUCUCAGUUGAGUACUCCCCUAUGCCAGGCAAUAUUCUAGAAAAAGGACACACAGCUCAUGUCCUCCCCAUGGAGCUUACCUACAGGUGUAAGGAGACAGAAAAUAAACAAUAAAACAAACAAAAUUUUUACAGAUUUU